Paramuricea clavata is the source of this 227-nucleotide non-coding RNA. The record is from the annotation of a GenBank genome assembly. NCBI's taxonomy places the organism in Eukaryota, Metazoa, Cnidaria, Anthozoa, Malacalcyonacea, Plexauridae.
AGACCCUUCUCGAAGCGGUUUUCAUGAAGGAAAUUCACAUUUCGGCCUUUGAUUCUUGGCAAAAAUUUGGCCACAACACGUGCGAACUAACUGGGUUACAAAGACUUAGCUAAAACAUUGUGAGCCCCUAUUUUCCUGACGAUAAGUUUGAUACCUAUAAACGCCAAAAAGUUUUUCUUUUCAUUUAGCUAUAUUUCAAAUUGAGGCCACGGGCUAUUUUUAAAAAA